AGAGUGCGUAAUAGCUCACUAGUCGAGAGGUCCUGCGCCGAAAAUGUCCGGGGCUGAAACACAACACCGAAGCUGCGGAAUUGCGAAUGCAAUUGGUAGAGGAGCAUUCUUAAUACCGACGAAGCUGUACCGGAAGGAGCAGUGGAGGGAUAAGAAGAGAGAAUGCCGGAAUGAGUAGCGAGAGAGAGGUGGGAAUCCUCUCGGCCGAAUAUCCAAGGUUUCCAGAGUAAAGCUGAUCUGCUCUGGGUAAGUCGGGGCCUAAGGCGAGGUCAAAAGACGUAGCCGAUGGACAACAGGUUUAGAUUCCUGUACCGCAUAUAAACAGAACUGUGGGGACGCAUGUGGAAAGCAUAAGCCGGGAAUGGAAAGACCGGUACAAGCGGGGUAGGUGUGUGACAGGCAAAUCCGUCAUAUAAGCCGAAGACGUGAUGUGGAGCGAAAUUUAGUAGUGAAGUAUGUGAGCCAUGUGCCGAGAAAAGCCGCUAUUGUUUUAUAUGUGCCCGUACCGUAAACCGACACAGGUGGAUGAGGAGAGAAUCCUAAGGCCGACGGAAGAAGCAUUGUUAAGGAACUCGGCAAAAUGACCCCGUAACUUCGGGAGAAGGGGUGCUCCAGAGAUGGAGCCGCAGAGAACUGGCCCAAGCAACUGUUUAGCAAAAACACAGGUCUAUGCAAAACCGAAAGGUGAGGUAUAUGGGCUGACGCCUGCCCGGUGCUGGAAGGUUAAGAGGAGAUGUUAAUCGCAAGGUGAAGCAUUGAAUUUAAGCCCCAGUAAACGGCGGCCGUAACUAUAACGGUCCUAAGGUAGCGAAAUUCCUUGUCGGGUAAGUUCCGACCCGCACGAAAGGCGUAAUGAUUUGAGCACUGUCUCGACAAUGCAUCCGGUGAAAUUGAAGUACCAGUGAAGAUGCUGGUUACCCGCGCCAGGACGGAAAGACCCCAUGGAGCUUUACUCCAGUUUGGUACUGGGAUUCGGUACUGCACGUACAGGAUAGGUGGGAGACUUUGAAACUUGAACGCCAGUUUGAGUGGAGUCGCUGUUGGGAUACCACCCCUGCAGUAUUGGAUUUCUAACCAGUCACCGUGAUCCGGUGAUGGGACAAUGCCAGGCGGGGAGUUUGACUGGGGCGGUCGCCUCCGAAAGGGUAUCGGAGGCGCUCAAAGGUUCCCUCAGAAUGGUUGGAAACCAUUCGAAGAGUGCAAAGGCAGAAGGGAGCUUGACUGCGACACCGACGGGUGGAGCAGGUACGAAAGUAGGACUUAGUGAUCCGGUGGUAUGAAAGUGGGAUUGCCAUCGCUCAACGGAUAAAAGCUACCCUGGGGAUAACAGGCUUAUCACUCCCAAGAGUUCACAUCGACGGAGUGGUUUGGCACCUCGAUGUCGGCUCAUCGCAUCCUGGGGCUGUAGUAGGUCCCAAGGGUUGGGCUGUUCGCCCAUUAAAGCGGUACGCGAGCUGGGUUCAGAACGUCGUGAGACAGUUCGGUCCCUAUCCGGCGCGGGCGGAGGAUAUUUGAGAGGAGCUGUCCUUAGUACGAGAGGACCGGGAUGGACGGACCACUGGUGUAUCUGUUGUCGACCAACGGCAUGGCAGAGUAGCCAAGUCUGGAAGGGAUAAACGCUGAAGGCAUCUAAGCGUGAAGCCCCCCUCAAGAUGAGAUAUCCCUCCUUCGGGAGUAAGACCCCUUGA
This 1688-nucleotide ribosomal RNA is filed under the name metagenome. RNAcentral's name for it is "bacterial LSU rRNA". It matches the Rfam family "Bacterial large subunit ribosomal RNA", at positions 1127 to 2841 of the family's 2925-position model. The record is from RNAcentral.